UACUUGCACCGUCUCGUUUCAUAACCGGAAGAUCUAACAGAACGAUAAAAGAAGUCUGGGAGAUUUUAUGUGAAACUCUGCAUCAAAACUCAGAAUCCUCGGUAGAUACAUAAGCUACAGACUGACAAGAUGCGUUACUGGCAACCUUUGAUGAAAAACCCUCAUUCAAGAUACAGGAUCAUUUGCCAGCCUCAGUCCUAUCUUUGAUUCUUUCUAGUGUGGAUUUAGAAAACAGCCAGUAACCCACAGAACCCGACAUCAUCAAUGCACCAACUGAUUCUUCGGGAAGUGGUAAUUAGCACAAUAUGGAAACGAUGUGCAGGGUCCAAAUACCUGAGACAACAGAAGAAUCCACCAAAGACG
Long non-coding RNA from Mustela erminea (ermine), 363 nucleotides. RefSeq lists it as uncharacterized. The record is from RefSeq and is a predicted model, not a curated record. Lineage: Eukaryota; Metazoa; Chordata; Mammalia; Carnivora; Mustelidae. The transcript has 3 exons.